RNAcentral lists this ribosomal RNA (486 nucleotides) under uncultured bacterium. Its description in RNAcentral is "partial 16S ribosomal RNA". It matches the Rfam family "Bacterial small subunit ribosomal RNA", at positions 30 to 507 of the family's 1533-position model. The record is from RNAcentral.
AUUGAACGCUGGCGGCAUGCCUUACACGUGCAAGUCGAACGGCAGCACGGGUGCUUGCACCUGGUGGCGAGUGGCGAACGGGUGUGUAAUACAUCGGAACAUGUCCUGUAGUGGGGGAUAGCCCGGCGAAAGCCGGAUUAAUACCGCAUACGAUCUUCUUAUGAAACCGGGGGACCUUCGGGCCUCGCGCUUUUGGGUUGGCCGAUGGCUGAUUAGCUAGUUGGUGGGGUAAAGGCCUACCAAGGCAACGAUCAGUAGCUGGUCUGAGAGGACGACCAGCCACACUGGGACUGAGACACGGCCCAGACUCCUACGGGAGGCAGCAGUGGGGAAUUUUGGACAAUGGGCGAAAGCCUGAUCCAGCAAUGCCGCGUGUGUGAAGAAGGCCUUCGGGUUGUAAAGCACUUUUGUCCGGAAGGAAAUCCUUGGCCCUAAUACGGUCGGGGGAUGACGGUACCAGAAGAAUAAGCACCGGCUAACUACGUG